Long non-coding RNA from Musca vetustissima, 183 nucleotides. RefSeq lists it as uncharacterized. The record is from RefSeq and is a predicted model, not a curated record. The transcript has 2 exons. Lineage: Eukaryota; Metazoa; Arthropoda; Insecta; Diptera; Muscidae.
GAGUGAGAUGAAAAAACUGCAACCAACUUCAGACUGCUGUCAUUUCUAAGCCCCUCGUCCGACAGCUGUUAAAAUUAUUACAGUGAUAGCUCAUUAUAUUGUUAUCAAGCGUACAAAAGCAUUUUUGUGAGAAUUUUCAAGAAAAGAACGUAGCCCGACAUCAAGGAAGUAGACGGAAGAAAA